UACGUAGGGGGCAAGCGUUAUCCGGAAUUAUUGGGUGUAAGGGGUGCGUAGACGGGUGUUUAAGUUGGUUGUGAAAUCCCUCGGCUCAACUGAGGAACUGCAACCAAAACUGGGCAUCUUGAGUGUCGGAGAGGAAAGUGGAAUUCCUAGUGUAGCGGUGAAAUGCGUAGAUAUUGGGAGGAACACCAGUGGCGAAGGCGACUUUCUGGACGAUAACUGACGUUGAGGCACGAAAGUGUGGGGAGCAAAC
Molecule: ribosomal RNA, 250 nt
Filed under: uncultured prokaryote
Description: partial 16S ribosomal RNA
Rfam family: Bacterial small subunit ribosomal RNA
Source: RNAcentral